RNAcentral lists this ribosomal RNA (636 nucleotides) under uncultured Marinobacter sp. RNAcentral's name for it is "bacterial SSU rRNA". It matches the Rfam family "Bacterial small subunit ribosomal RNA", at positions 870 to 1504 of the family's 1533-position model. Lineage: Bacteria; Pseudomonadati; Pseudomonadota; Gammaproteobacteria; Pseudomonadales; Marinobacteraceae. The record is from RNAcentral.
CGCCUGGGGAGUACGGCCGCAAGGUUAAAACUCAAAUGAAUUGACGGGGGCCCGCACAAGCGGUGGAGCAUGUGGUUUAAUUCGACGCAACGCGAAGAACCUUACCUGGCCUUGACAUCCAGAGAGCUUUCCAGAGAUGGAUUGGUGCCUUCGGGAACUCUGAGACAGGUGCUGCAUGGCCGUCGUCAGCUCGUGUCGUGAGAUGUUGGGUUAAGUCCCGUAACGAGCGCAACCCCUAUCCCUGGUUGCUAGCAGGUAAUGCUGAGAACUCCAGGGAGACUGCCGGUGACAAACCGGAGGAAGGUGGGGAUGACGUCAGGUCAUCAUGGCCCUUACGGCCAGGGCUACACACGUGCUACGAUGGCGCGUACAGAGGGCUGCCAACUCGCGAGAGUGAGCCAAUCCCUUAAAACGCGUCGUAGUCCGGAUCGGAGUCUGCAACUCGACUCCGUGAAGUCGGAAUCGCUAGUAAUCGCGAAUCAGAAUGUCGCGGUGAAUACGUUCCCGGGCCUUGUACACACCGCCCGUCACACCAUGGGAGUGGAUUGCACCAGAAGUAGUUAGUCUAACCUUCGGGAGGACGAUUACCACAGUGUGGUUCAUGACUGGGGGUGAAGUCGUAACAAGGUAACCGUA